GAAAUAUGCUGCUGAGUACAAGUUUGACGGCAGGCAUUUCUCAAGCCAUCUCUCCAGUGACCAACAAGGUUGAUGGGAGUGAAAUCGUUUUCUGUUUAAAAAACUGAUUUGGAACAUAGAUUUUGAUGCUCAUCUUCCUAGAAAGACUGGCCACAUCUCUCAAAGGGCAGGUCUGAGGCAUCAUGAUACAUAACACUUUUUCUCCUGCUCAGAUUUCUCUGGACUGCACAUAUUUCUAAUUUUAGAAGUAGCUGCAAGCAGUUAGGAGUCAUGCACUCACAUAUUCAAUGGUCUGUGCCAAAGCUGUCCAUGUCUGUUAGGGUAAUGUGUACUCGGUUAUUUUAAAUUCUUUCCUUUGAAAUGAAUGCUUUGCUGUUUCCACAUUUUCUGAUAAUCAGAAAUAUACUUUUCCAGACCUCUUCCUAAAGCAUGUUGAUUUUAAGGUCUGCACCAGACCUCUGUUCUGCUCUCGACUGUUGAAUAUGUCUGGCUUAUUUAAAAAAAACUGUGUUUGCCCAUAGAGGGGCAGGGAACUGGGGAGGAGAAGGUAGUUAAGGUAGGAUUCUGACUCCAAAUGAGCUGAUUAAAAGGUAUCUGAGAUAAUUGUUUUCAAAGGUGGAAAGAGAUGGCUGGAAAUCAAUGGGCAGUCAUGUUGGAAUGUAAAAGUAAUCAACAUGAACACAGGCCAUAUCAUCAAUGCUUUCUGAAUGCAAAGGGAAAGGGAACUACUAUGCCGUGGCUUCCUUCAAAUUGAUGUGUCUUUCCAAACUUAGAGGAGCAAGAGAAAUGCUUGCAGGGACUUUAACUUGAAAAAAAAAAACAGGCUUGUGGCAUUAACAUAGCACGUUGAGUUCUUUGGAGUCAAGGUGCUGGCUAAAUUUCUCCUGCUAAUAAAUGCUUUUAUCACAAAGUAUACCCAAUUCCACUAUCUGUGUGAUGCAUACCAAGUUUCUUUGGUUUGUAGCAAGACCAUUUUGCAUUACAGUUAUUCAAGAAAUCACUGAUCAAUUACUAAGAUGCAUCUUCAUAAGAAAUAAAUUCUUGACAUGCAUAGAAGUAUAUGGAUGGUUGAAAGUAACUUGGAAAUUGGAGUAACUGAAAUAAUUUAAUCUAAUCCAGUCAUUUCACAGGUGGGAUAGUGGAGGCCCAAGUUACUUAUGGGAUUGGGUCAAAGAAAGCCAGCAUUCUUUGACCAGUAUUAACAUCUGUGUGUCCUGAUAUCUACUCAAACUAUGACAUGAUAAUAUCUGUACACCAAUCACACAGAAAUGAACUAGAGGUGAUAUAGUUUAGAUGUCCCUUCCAAAUCUCAUGUUGAAAUUUAACACCCAGUGUUGGAGGUGGGGUCUGGUGGGAAGCGGAUCCCUCAUGGCUUGGUGUUCUCCUUGCAAUAGUGAGUACUUGCAAGAUCUGGUUAAGUCUGUGGCACCUCUCCCCACCUCACUCUCUCUUGCUCCCACUCUGCCAUGAGAGAUGUCUGCUCCCACUUCGCUUUCUGCCAUGAGUAAAAGCUCCUUGAGGCCUCCCCAGAAGCCAAACAGAUGCCAGUGCCUUGCUUCCUGUACAGACUGCAGAACUUAUUUCGAUAGAAAGGCGCUUGAACAUGCAGAACGUGCUCACAGUGCUGGAGCUCUUGCCCUGCUGUUUGUAUGGACUCCAUAAAAAGGGCACUGCUACUGCAAGUACAGAUACUUGGACCUCAUAGCAAGCUCCUCGGGCCCCUGGAACAAGAAGUCUCUAGCAUCUCUGCAGAUUUCUUGCCCACAGUGGGUAGCAGCGUGCCCUGAAGCAGACUGCUGAGACAGACAGUGAGGAGCACUUUCCUGGCAGCACUCAGUGUGUGGCAGACAAGCUUGUGGUAUUUGCCACCUGCAGGGACUAUGGGACAUGCUGUCAGAAUCCCCUCAAACUGCUUUCAAGGAAUCCUGGACUGAUGAUCAGCUCAGGACCUCAGUUAUCCCAGGCCUCAUGGGCCAGGGGUUUAUUAGAUCACAACAUACCUAUAACCACUGCAUGGCAUAAAAAUCAGGAAGCCCAGAGAACACAAAUGUCUGGCCCACGUCUGUAAGUGACAGCCCAGGAUUAGAAGGGACACUGGAUUUUGUGGAUGCUCCUUGGACACACUGGAAUGCACCUUGGGCAGCCCGUGGAUCAUUUUCCCCAGUAUGAAGCAUGGGAGGAGCUGGAAAAUGAACUCAUGAGCCAGUUGAGCCAGCACAACAAGCUGGAGCCAGGAGUCUGGCUGGGCUAGCUUUUAUCUUGUGCUCCCUGGAACCCUGACUGGAUGAUUUCUGAAGUCGAGCUGGAGCCCAUCUAGAGGGAAGGUGAAACUUCUCCUCAGCAUGCAGGGCCUCCUGCACCCACACUGCCACAGCCACCGCAUUACCAGCUCCUGCCAGUCUGAGGAGCAAGAGGCUGGCAUGAAGAAUCAGUUCCAUUCUUUCCUCCCUAAAUUUAGAAAAAGCCUGUUUUGCAAAGCUUUCUUCAGUGUUUCAAGACAAAAAAAAAAAAAUUAAGCAGUUGCACAACAUGCAUAUCUUCUCCUGGCCUGCAGCUCCAGGAUAUGCAGCUGGGAGCGAGUGUCCAGCCAACAGCCCGUGUCUCAGGCCCUGCCAGGGGAUGAAUCAAUUAGCAAGAGAAGCAAUGAUGCAAAUGCUCCGGGGUCACUUGGGAUGCUGUUUGCCUUUUUGAUAGAGAAAGCACACCAUAAAUAACAUCACACCUCAGGAAAUCAUUCCAGGAGGCCCCGAUGCUGGCAGGGCUGCUGCCAGGGACGGAAGGAAUCGUUUGCUCAUUGUGUGUAUUUCCCCCAGCUCAGUCAAUGGGAGAUUUGUAGUAAAAUCAAAGUAUUUAAAAGGAGGACAGUAUGUGGUAACAGAGGCAUGUUUAGCAAUUUUUUUAGUACCAGAACCUGUGAUUUAUGACCCAGAGUUACAGCCAACUUUAUUACAAAAAUGACUUCACCCAUAAUAACCUUAUUCAGGGCCCUCUGAUGAAUGAUGUAGUAUCCAACAGCAUUAUAAUCUAGUAAAUAUUCAAACACAAUUCCCGCCUCCGCCUCAUUUCCAACCAACCCCUCAGAAGCAGGCUUCCCCCUUUACCUGCUGGGAGAAGUGGGGUCCUGGGUAAGGCUUUGUGCUCUGUCUGUGGGAGUUUGCCUGGAUCAGGCAUUUAUACUAAGCCAGGACAGAAAGUGACCUCCUGGGGUCUCAGUCAUAUCUUGUCCAACCUUGUCCCCUGAGGAGUAAUGAGCAGAAGACACCCACUCACCCUUCAUUUCCUCUCUGUGCUGAAACUUAUUUCCUCCCUGCAUUCCCCCACUCCUCCAGAGCUCAGAUCCCCACCACCUGAAAGGAGCUCCAGUAAGCUCCCUGACAUUUUUAAUUGCCAUGGUAACUGAGGGCUGCACUAAAACCGCCAGGGCUGGGUGUCCAAGCAGGGUCCCCUGGGCGUACCGGGAUCUAGAAACUAGCCCUCCAUCUUAUUAAACUCCGGUGUCAGUUCCUAGCAAUUGUUUUAAAUUUACACCCUCAGAGUGGCUUAGUGGGAUUACAUGUCCAUUUGCAUUAAAACAGUUUUCUGUCAUUAAACUGCCAUACAAUAAGCUUCCUUGGGACAAAUUAAUGAGCUCUAAAUAUCAUCAAGUAGAAGUUCACUUCAAGACAGGCAACAAGGAGGGGGGUCGGAAGGAAGUGGCUGCUCAGAAUCUCAUGGCCCAGGAGAACGAUAAGUGCCAACUAAAGAAGGGUCUUGUCCUGUUUCUUCACUGCACGAUAAGUGGUCCUGAUUUAGAGCUGAAUGGGGAGAUUUGGCAAUAUUCUCCCUGUUCGCCAAAAUCCUAUAGCUCAUCUUCUAUUCCUUCUUCCAAAUAUGACUUUACCCUUGACUUUGCUGAAAUUUGCUGAUGAAACACUGACCUCUUGUCUCAGUGACAAUGUCUCAGCCUCAUUUUCUUUGUCCUGUAGUUUCUCUGUCCUUGAGGAACUUGCGUGCAUCCACGUGGCCUGGGAACAACACGCACACAACGCAGCACUAUGUGUAGCUUGAACAAGUGCUCCCUAACUUUGUUAGUUCCCACACACUUUGCUAAAAUGCAUGUAUGAUUGCUACUGAACUGUCUGGGUCCUCAGACCUUAUCGGGACCCUGGAACACGAGUCCUGAUCAGGAGCACCUUUCAUGGUCAUCAGGAGCAGAAUAGGAACAGGGAACAGUUUAGCUUCUAAGACUGAAUUUGUCCUGCUCACAAGAAUCACCAGAGCUUGUCCUCACAAAUACAUAUGUGUGUCUAAGUAGAAAUUUUUCAUUAACACCAAAUAAACCCCCAAACCUUCCCUUAUGUAAAGGAAAUAAGACUGGCUGCUAGACAGACUUCUUGAUCCACAGAGGCUGUGAUCUCAUUUCUGUGUAGCCUUAACAGGGGACAGUAAUGUAUGAUUGAGACACUGCUAUAUUUAGGAAUGACAAGAUGAACAUUAUUAAUAGCUUAAUUGACAUUAAGGCAAUUACCCCUACCCUUAUUACAGUUUGUAGAAUUACACAGAAAAUAUUGGCUGGGGCCUUUUUUUCCCUAGAGCUACCCAAGGAUACAGCAUUUUAUUUCAUGCCAGAUCCCAGCUUUGACAUUAGAUACUUAGCCAUAGAAUGAUUCCAGUAAAUCAUUAUAAAUGCAUUAUAAUAAAGAUGUUAUGAGCUAUCAGAUAUUAACCCCCAACCCCUAAAGAGAGAUAAAUAGUCCAGUUGCAUGAUUCCCACUUUUGUUUCAUAAGAAAUAAGCUUUUGCAAAGAGCAACUGACUAAUGAAUUAUAAAAUGGUGUGUUGAGCUCAGAUAAUUAAACAAUGCAUUUUAGUGUCUAGUGCAGGAUGAACACUAAAUCAUACACAAAUAAAAAAGGUAAAAAUCUGAGCCCCAUGCCUAACUCCUAUUUUUGAAUAACAUUAAUGUUGGUCUACAGUCCAAAAAUGCUUCAACUAUUUUCUUAUCUGAUUAGAGAGGCAUAUCAAGUAUAAGAUCAAGGCACAGUAGGCAAACUAAACCAACAGUCAGAACAAAAACUGUGAAGGUGCUAAUUUCAGAUAAGCCCACAAGGUUAUUUUAAUGGAGAUUUUACAUGGAGAUUGCUUUUUCCCCCAAAGUGUUAAUGGGACAAAAGUCUAGAAGGACCUGGAAGUUUUCAGGUUUCCUUAUACUUUAUAUUUUCUCUGAACUCAUAAUAAAGCAUAUUAGUGGGAAUGGGAUCUAUGCUAUUGGUGGUGGUCUUAGCCUUAUAGUGUUGGAAAGAUGAAUACACAUCCUAAAAUCUUCUCUAGGUUGUGGAGGUGCAGGGAUGAGGAGGGGUUGGUUUGGGUUUCAACCAUUAUCCUCCCCAGGUGGUGGUAUCCUGCCCAGCAGGGCUUCAUCUAGUGGUCAACCAUGGAACACCAUGACAUUUUCACCAGUGGCCCUCAGACAGGGCUGGUUUGCCAUUGGCUGCCAUUUCCUGGCAUGUCGUAGAUUUGCUGCGUGAUUUGAAGCUGUGCUUCAGCACAUCCUGAAUGUGUUUUUUAGUCUUUCAGUAUCUCAAAGACAUGGUGUCCGCCUCAAGGUAGUCUCCUAUUUCUUCGUCAAAUAGCACAUCAUUAAGGACUGUGUGGCCAAAAUUACAGAUGGUCUUGGACUCUGUAUGGGCAAUGACCACCUGUGCUGGUAAUCGAGGCUUCCCUGGAACACCUGGGAACAUACCACACAGCCAGUCCUCUCCUGUGCUCCAGUCAAGCUUAACCUCACAGCCCGAUACUCCCUCCACUUCCCUAGCUCCAUGUGUUAGCCACUGCAGGUUAAUUGAUCUAAGGCUUAUUUUCUUCAAAUAUAAAAUGAAGAUAAUAAUGCCUACCCAGAGGGUCAUGUGAACAUUAAAUGAGAUCAAUUAUGUAAAGAUCUAUCUAUGCAGUGCCUUUCACAGAGUAUGCCCACAAAUAAAUGUUACCUGUUUCAUUUUAGUUAUCUAUGUUUAGCUAUCUUUGUGUUUUUUCUAUCCUGCUUCUUCUCGCUCCACUAUACUCUUACAUCCUAAUUCUCUCUCUCUCUCAUACACACAUACUUUGCUGUGUCUAGCACAGUGCUUUGCUUGUGGCUCACACUCUACAUGCUUGUUACCCUGAACUAUUAACAAAAGCAGCUGCUAGUAACAGUUAAUGUUUUCUGACCACCUACAUGAGCCAGGCACUAUGCUAAGUAUCAUCACUUCCUUUAAUUCUCACAAGCUUAUGAGACAAAUACUAUUUUAAUUCUCAUCUAUCGGAAAUUAAAGAUUAAAGAUGUUCUAUAACUUGCCCAAGGUCACACAAGCUCUUAAGUGGAUAGUCAAGAUCCAAACUCAGAACCGGCCUGGAUUUGAAAUCUCAGUUCUUAACUAUCACUGUGUCAGACUGAUUUUGUUAGCUUUUUCCUCCUUUAGACUGGGCCCUAUCAAGGGAUCAGAGAUAAGCAUGUACCCACUCUCAGAUGAGUGAUCCCACGACCUCAAGUUUUGAAGUUCCAGGAAGUCCAGAAGUGUAUGCUAACUCUAGUUUAUAGCUGUUCAAAAGUCACUUGUCUAAAAACUUCAGGGACAUUAUGUAAAACCAUCCAAAAAACAUUAUUGCACACCCCAUAAAGUUAAUUUCACUUUGCAAGAAUGUGUUUGAGGGAGGUGAUGCACUUGGCUAUGUAUUCAGGUUGGUGGCCACAAUAUAUGGAGCUGUGCUGUCAUCCUUGACACUCUGGCUUACUGGCAGCCUCGCUCCAACACACUGUCACAGGCGAGGGAUGGCCUCCCAGUCUUGACUCAGAACACUUAAGCUUCCUAAUGGUCCAAGUCUCACAAACCACACACCUCCCUUAAUUAAAAAAGUAAAUUAAAAGGAGUAUUUCAACUUAGGGAUGAAUUAUCUUAGUAAUUUAAGAUUGACAUUUUAUUGGAUAAAAGGACAUGUAUGAGUUUAUUUUAAAAUACUGCCUUCAUGAACAAGAGACCACAGAAAAGAUUAUCCUGAGGUUGCAAGGCGUUUGUAGAGCCAGAGGACACCCUUGCAAAACAGCCACUGUGAGAGGCCAGUUGCUGCAAAUCACAGGUCAGCCACUUCUACACUUGUCCUUCAAGCACAUCAGCCGGACAUUUGGAGUUUUCUAUAGUCUUCAUUUCAAACUCGAUCAUCCUGAGUGUUGUGGUGGACACUACUAGUGUCACAAAGAGUCCAGCACCCUCUCCUUCCAGGUAUAUAAACGGUGCAUUGCUGGGCUCCUUUGCAGUUGGAUAGGUCAGGUAAUUUGUCUGUUGUGAAGAGUUACUAUGUUUCACUUCUAAGCCGAAGCAUUUGAUUGUCAAUGGAAUACCCUCCAGCUCUCUCCUUCCCUGCAGAAGUAAUCUUGGAAGCAUGUGUUGAGAUGACAGAGUUCCCAAUAGCCUAGAUUCCUGAAUGACUUAGUGGAGCUGAGUCCUCCACAGGUCCAUGUUGGACAUGCACAAUCAGUGAGAAUAAACUUUUGUUGGAUUAAGUCACCGAUGUUUGGAGACUGUUCAUUACCACAACAAAAUGUAGCCAAAUCCCGACUAAUCCAGGAAUUAACCUUUUGUUCAGAAAAUACAGCCCUUCUAAGUCAUAAACCCAUAUUCUCUUUCCAAUAGCUUAUUAAAUGGUUUAUGUAUUUUCCAUCUUUUUGAUAUACUCUCAGAUGCCUAAAAUUACCACAGUGACCUUGGAUUGGACAAGGUAGUUGUUUGUCUUUUAGCCAUUAAUAAAUAUUGCUACUGUGGAAUGAGUGAGGGAAACAGAAGAAGACAAGGUUGGCCUUUUGAAAAUAAUAUGGCAUCAUGUAACGAUGAAAAAGAGAAAAAAUACAGAAAAAAGAGAAAACAAGAGAAAAAUGAAAAACAAGUCUAUAAGAGAGAAAAGUAGAGAAAAACAAAACAAUAGAAAUGCUGGGCAAUUUGUUUCAGAUUCACUAUAACCAACUGCUUGUUGUUGGGUUCUGCUCUAGAAGGCAUCUCUCAGGAUGCCUUUGACCCUCAGCACCUUUUUGUGUAUGUGCCUAGCAUACUGAGGUGCUCAAUAAAUGUUGAUUGAAAGGGUAAAUAAAGGAAUAAAUUUCCAUUUUAUAAUCUUGGAAGCAUAUAUUACUUUAAACGGCCUAUGACUAUGAAUGGACAUUCCAUUGCACAUUGAAAGGCAGUACAACAAGUGAGAAGGGAAGUAGAAAUAUAUGAGUUUGAAUAGCUCUUCAUAACCUUUAAACCUGAGUCCUUGCAAAGAGCAACUAUGAGGUCAGAGCAAUAAUUCUUUGUCCUAAAAACAGGACACCACUGAUAACUCAGAGCCGUCUGUUGAAGAAAGUGUUUCAAAUAAACUGGUUAGCAAUGCCCUUGUUUUGUUUGCCUCUGGAUGGGAAGAACUAGGAGUGCAAUCAGCACCGAGGUGUCUAUAGUCUUGAUGUGGUGGGAGAUGAAAGUAGGGGAACUGAAUAAUGUAUUUUUUCAAAACCUUGAAUGGAGCGAGAAAUACUGAUAAAAAGGAAGAGUUGUGAGUCAUUCUUCUGCUGAUGCCAACUGGGAAGCUCCAGUAGUAUAUUCCCCUGGUGAUGAAGUAAUUCACUUUUUCUGAGAUUAACAUUCUGUAGUAAGGCUGUUCCUCAUACAAGGUUGCUCACAGGUAAAGUUAAUAAAAGGCAGAGUCUAAGAAUUCAUAAGGAAGUUUGCCUUUCCAUGGGGAGAAAGCAUGCAAUCAGGGUCUCUAGUCUGUGUGCACACGUGUGUGUGCGCGUGUGUGUGUGCGCGCGCGCACUCAUAUGCACAGCUCAGAUGUCCAGGACUUGAGAUGAGAAUGGAAAGCACCGAAUAAGAAGAAAGCUGCCACACAGUAGGCUGAAGGAGAAUGACUACAACCUUUAGGCUGAAAAAAAAAAAACACUACAUGCUGGCGUGUAUCCUUGUGGAUAUGUGGAAACACAACAAAAAUAUUGGUCCAUCCUGGCUGCAGUUUUAAAGGAAAGGAAGAUCUCCUGGCAUCAACAUCUCUUGGAGAUGAACACACUAUACAUGCAAGUUCAAAUCUAUCAUCUUCCACCAGUCAACCCAAGCUACAUUCCCCUUCCAUUUAUUAUCAAAGGAAUAAGCACUUUUGUUUCCCAGGCUUAACUCCUCAAAAUCAUGAGCUUUUCUUCCCUACCUUUCCCUUCAUUCGAACUCUUUCCUUUCAAAAUGUUUAUAGAAUUCAUUCUUAUCCUCUCCCUGCCUGGGGGGUUUAUCUAGCUAGUCUAAAUUCUAGAUCAUUGCCUUUCUAUAGGAAAUAUAAAACACACAAAUAAUGAAAUACCCAUAAUCCAAGGCAGAAAUCAUGAGUGUUAUAGUAACAAUGGCCUCAAGAGCUAGACUGCCCAGGCAGCUCAUAUU
RNAcentral lists this long non-coding RNA (9406 nucleotides) under Homo sapiens (human). RNAcentral's name for it is "HSALNT0043663". The record is from RNAcentral. Lineage: Eukaryota; Metazoa; Chordata; Mammalia; Primates; Hominidae.